AGUGAACGCUGGCGGUAGGCCUAACACAUGCAAGUCGAACGGCAGCACAGUAAGAGCUUGCUCUUACGGGUGGCGAGUGGCGGACGGGUGAGGAAUACAUCGGAAUCUACUUUUUCGUGGGGGAUAACGUAGGGAAACUUACGCUAAUACCGAAUACGACCUACGGGUGAAAGCAGGGGAUCUUCGGACCUUGCGCGAUUGAAUGAGCCGAUGUCGGAUUAGCUAGUUGGCGGGGUAAAGGCACACCAAGGCGACGAUCCGUAGCUGGUCUGAGAGGAUGAUCAGCCACACUGGAACUGAGACACGGUCCAGACUCCUACGGGAGGCAGCAGUGGGGAAUAUUGGACAAUGGGCGCAAGCCUGAUCCAGCCAUACCGCGUGGGUGAAGAAGGCCUUCGGGUUGUAAAGCCCUUUUGUUGGGAAAGAAAAGCAGCAGGUUAAUACCCCGCUGUUCUGACGGUACCCAAAGAAUAAGCACCGGCUAACUUCGUG
This 492-nucleotide ribosomal RNA is filed under the name uncultured bacterium. Its description in RNAcentral is "partial 16S ribosomal RNA". It matches the Rfam family "Bacterial small subunit ribosomal RNA", at positions 29 to 507 of the family's 1533-position model. The record is from RNAcentral.